UGGCGAUUAACAACUAUUCACUGGAUCCGACUUCUGAUGUAAGACAUUUUGGAAGAGUACUCUGUAAAAGGAAGAGAUUAGACAUUUAAAAUGAUAAAAGCCUUUGCAAUCUGGAUGUAUGGGGCAAUCCAAUUGGGUUAAAUUUUUGCAUGAUGUUUAUGGGAUAAGUCCUAAUAAUAGGUGGAGAAUUCCUAUUUGUAAGCUCUCUUGUUGCUAGGUACCUUAUGUCCUAGCUGACAAUUAUAGAUGCUUUCGACAAUCUAACAAUUUUGAUAAGGGUUCGAGACGAUAAAAGUGUGAUCUUGAGUGUAUUUAUAUUGUAACUAGAGUAAAUGUGAAUUUGGGAUGCACAUCUCUCAGCCUGAGAUUCCAUUCCCAACCCGACCAACUGCAAAUUUGAACAGGUCAAGAAACCUGUCGUUCAUGCCAUACCAGACCGAUGUAUAAGUUUCUCAUCCAACAGGUCUAGCAAACCGCUGUCCGGCUGAUCCAAUGAUCCUGAACAAUUUAACUAGAAAGGAACAGAUUAGCUAUUUGUACCACCAUGUUCAUCCUCUCAGAUUUUCAGCAGCCUCAGUUUACUUGUCAUAUAAAUAUGAAUCUAUUUGUUGAGGAUUAUUGUCUUUAUUUUUUCUUUUUGCUAUAAAUUAGGAUAAAUUUGAAUCAGUUGCUCAUAAAAACCAAUUGUCUGGUCAGGCACCUGGAGGGUUGGCGGUGUACUAGCUAUGUCACGUGCUUUUGGUAACCGCAUGUUGAAGCAAUUUGUUGUAGCAGAACCUGAGAUA
RNAcentral lists this unclassified non-coding RNA (785 nucleotides) under Hevea brasiliensis (rubber tree). The record is from RNAcentral. Lineage: Eukaryota; Viridiplantae; Streptophyta; Magnoliopsida; Malpighiales; Euphorbiaceae.